GACAGAGGUGCCGAGCGUUAGGCGGAAUCACUGGGCUUAAAGCGUGUGUAGGCGGGUCGUUAAGUGUCUUGUGAAAUCCCACCGCUCAACGGUGGAACUGCUGGGCAUACUGGCGAUCUUGAGCCACCUAGGGGCAGACGGAACAAGCGGUGGAGCGGUGAAAUGCGUAGAUAUCGCUUGGAACGCCGAAGGUGAAAACAGGGCGCUGGGAGUGCGCCGACGCUGAGACACGAAAGCCAGGGGAGCAAACGGG
This 253-nucleotide ribosomal RNA is filed under the name uncultured bacterium. Its description in RNAcentral is "partial 16S ribosomal RNA". It matches the Rfam family "Bacterial small subunit ribosomal RNA", at positions 524 to 776 of the family's 1533-position model. The record is from RNAcentral.